This 1329-nucleotide ribosomal RNA is filed under the name human gut metagenome. RNAcentral's name for it is "bacterial LSU rRNA". It matches the Rfam family "Bacterial large subunit ribosomal RNA", at positions 662 to 1990 of the family's 2925-position model. The record is from RNAcentral.
GUAGCCGCAGUGAAAGCGAGCCUGAAGAGGGCGCACAGUCAGUGGGGGUAGACGCGAAACCAAGUGAUCUACACUUGGCCAGGAUGAAGUCCCGGUAACACGGGAUGGAGGUCCGCACCAAUAAGCGUUGAAAAGCUUCUGGAUGAGCCGAGUGUAGGAGUGAAAGGCCAAUCAAACUUGGAGAUAGCUCGUACUCCCCGAAAGGCAUUUAGGUGCCGCGUCGGAUGGUCACCGUGAGAGGUAGAGCGACCGAUAGGACAAGAGGGCUUCACCGCCUAUCGAGUCCUGACGAACUCCGAAUGCUCACGGUCUGCAGUCCGGCAGUAAGGGGGCGGGUGCUAAGGUCCGUCCCCGAGAGGAGAAGAAUCCAGACCGCCGUCUAAGGUCCCGGAGUUCUGCCUGAGUUAGUCUAACGAAGUCUGGUCCCUAUGACAGCUAGGAUGUUGGCUUGGAAGCAGCCAUUCAUUCAAAGAGUGCGUAACAGCUCACUAGUCGAGGGUCCGGGCAUGGAUAAUAAUCGGGUAUAAGGCAGACACCGAAGGCGCGGGAUAGCAAUUAUAAAAGUAUCGGUAGGGGAGCAUACUCACAGCGUCGAAUGGUGUACGUAAGUUAUCCUGGAGCGGUGAGUAAAGCAAAUGUAGGAAUAAGUAACGAUAAGGAGGGUUAGAUUCCCUCCCGCUGUAAGACCAAGGUUUCCCGGGCAAUGCCAAUCAGCCCGGGGUCAGUCGGGUCCUAAGUCUAAGCCGAACGGCGAUGGCGAUGGCAGAGACGGUUAAUAUUCCGUCACUGCCGCAUGGGGCGACGUGGAGACGGAGCAGUGAAACCACCGCGGGGCGACGGAAGUCCCCGUUGAAGAGUGUAGGCGUUGAGGAUGGCAGGCAAAUCCACCAUCCGAAACGAGAAGGCGUGAAGCGUACGGAAAGCUACGGCGAGUACGGAAGGCAGUGGAGGAACUUCCAAGAAAAGUUUCUAACGUUAAGUAUAUAUGGCCCGUACCGAAAAUGGACACACAUGGGUGAGGAGAGAAUCCUAAGGUGAGCGAGAGAACUAUAGCUAAGGAACUCUGCAAAAUGACUCCGUAACUUAGGGAGAAGGAGUGCUCAUAGAGAUAUGAGCCGCAGUGAAACGGCCCAAGCGACUGUUUACCAAAAACACAGCUCUCUGCUAAGCCGCAAGGCGAAGUAUAGGGGGUGACGCCUGCCCGGUGCUGGAAGGUUAAGGGGAGGGGUUAACGCAAGUGAAGCCCUGAACUGAAGCCCCAGUAAACGGCGGCCGUAACUAUAACGGUCCUAAGGUAGCGAAAUUCCUUGUCAGGUAAGUUCUGACCCG